CAUUCAUUCCUUUUAAAUCUUUUGCAUUUUAUAUGCCAAUAGAAUACAAGACAACGUCUCAUUUUGCUCCUUGGAUUAGCAUGUAACUACACCCUUGAUUGUGUUUGAAAGGUUUGAAAUAUGGCUUUUUUUGCCUUAAAAAAUUGUUAUAAUCCCUUCUUCACAUACUUGAGUAACCAUUGCCUCUUCAUCACUUAAUUCGGGAGCCCCUAUAGAUCGUUCUACUACCAUUUAGUCUCGUUGCUCUCUCUAUAUAUGCCAUCGGUGACAUCUUUUAUUCAUAAUUCUUUAUCUACAUCACUAUGUCUCAAACUCUUUACUGACCUUAGUAACUACAUUCUAUAGCCACAUAAUCUUAGAAAUUGCAUCACUUGAUGUCUCCUAUUUAGAUUAUGUUAAAGAUGAAAAUAAAUCAAGGUAUUAAAGAGGAAAUAAAUCAAAAUAUCAAAGAAGAAGUUAAUUAGGACAUCAAGAAGGAAAUAAAUUAGAAUAUUAAAAAGUAAAUAAAUC
This 510-nucleotide long non-coding RNA is filed under the name Carica papaya (papaya). Its description in RNAcentral is "long non-coding RNA (CPAP_LNC008090)". Lineage: Eukaryota; Viridiplantae; Streptophyta; Magnoliopsida; Brassicales; Caricaceae. The record is from RNAcentral.